AGUGAACGCUGGCGGUAGGCCUAACACAUGCAAGUCGAACGGCAGCACAGUAAGAGCUUGCUCUUACGGGUGGCGAGUGGCGGACGGGUGAGGAAUACAUCGGAAUCUACUUUUUCGUGGGGGAUAACGUAGGGAAACUUACGCUAAUACCGCAUACGACCUACGGGUGAAAGCAGGGGAUCUUCGGACCUUGCGCGAUUGAAUGAGCCGAUGUCGGAUUAGCUAGUUGGCGGGGUAAAGGCCCACCAAGGCGACGAUCCGUAGCUGGUCUGAGAGGAUGAUCAGCCACACUGGAACUGAGACACGGUCCAGACUCCUACGGGAGGCAGCAGUGGGGAAUAUUAGACAAUGGGCGCAAGCCUGAUCCAGCCAUACCGCGUGGGUGAAGAAGACCUUAGGGUUGUAAAGCCCUUUUGUUGGGAAAGAAAAGCAGCAGGUUAAUACCCCGCUGUUCUGACGGUACCCAAAGAAUAAGCACCGGCUAACUUCGUG
This 492-nucleotide ribosomal RNA is filed under the name uncultured bacterium. Its description in RNAcentral is "partial 16S ribosomal RNA". It matches the Rfam family "Bacterial small subunit ribosomal RNA", at positions 29 to 507 of the family's 1533-position model. The record is from RNAcentral.